UAGGGAAUCUUCGGCAAUGGGGGGAACCCUGACCGAGCAACGCCGCGUGAGUGAAGAAGGUUUUCGGAUCGUAAAACUCUGUUAUUAGGGAAGAACAAAUGUGUAAGUAACUAUGCACAUCUUGACGGUACCUAAUCAGAAAGCCACGGCUAACUACGUGCCAGCAGCCGCGGUAAUACGUAGGUGGCAAGCGUUAUCCGGAAUUAUUGGGCGUAAAGCGCGCGUAGGCGGUUUUUUAAGUCUGAUGUGAAAGCCCCCGGCUCAACCGGGGAGGGUCAUUGGAAACUGGUUGACUUGAGUGCAGAAGAGGAGAGUGGAAUUCCAUGUGUAGCGGUGAAAUGCGUAGAUAUAUGGAGGAACACCAGUGGCGAAGGCGACUCUCUGGUCUGUAACUGACGCUGAGGCUCGAAAGCGUGGGUAGCAAACAGG
RNAcentral lists this ribosomal RNA (429 nucleotides) under Bacteroidota bacterium. RNAcentral describes it as "Bacteroidetes bacterium partial 16S ribosomal RNA". It matches the Rfam family "Bacterial small subunit ribosomal RNA", at positions 355 to 776 of the family's 1533-position model. The record is from RNAcentral. Lineage: Bacteria; Pseudomonadati; Bacteroidota.